GACGGAGGAUGCAAGUGUUAUCCGGAAUCACUGGGCGUAAAGCGUCUGUAGGUGGUUUAAUAAGUCAACUGUUAAAUCUUGAGGCUCAACCUCAAAAUCGCAGUCGAAACUAUUAGGCUAGAGUAUAGUAGGGGUAAAGGGAAUUUCCAGUGGGGCGGUGAAAUGCGUAGAGAUUGGAAAGAACACCGAUGGCGAAGGCACUUUACUGGGCUAUUACUAACACUCAGAGACGAAAGCUAGGGUAGCAAAUGGG
RNAcentral lists this ribosomal RNA (253 nucleotides) under uncultured bacterium. Its description in RNAcentral is "partial 16S ribosomal RNA". It matches the Rfam family "Bacterial small subunit ribosomal RNA", at positions 524 to 776 of the family's 1533-position model. The record is from RNAcentral.